This 531-nucleotide ribosomal RNA is filed under the name uncultured bacterium. Its description in RNAcentral is "partial 16S ribosomal RNA". It matches the Rfam family "Bacterial small subunit ribosomal RNA", at positions 355 to 895 of the family's 1533-position model. The record is from RNAcentral.
UGGGGAAUAUUGGACAAUGGGCGGAAGCCUGAUCCAGCAACGCCGCGUGAGGGAUGACGGCCUUCGGGUUGUAAACCUCUUUCAGCACAGACGAAGCGCAAGUGACGGUAUGUGCAGAAGAAGGACUGGCCAACUACGUGCCAGCAGCCGCGGUAAUACGUAGGGUCCGAGCGUUGUCCGGAAUCAUUGGGCGUAAAGGGCUCGUAGGCGGUUUGUCGCGUCGGGAGUGAAAACACCGGGCUUAACUCGGUGCUUGCUUUCGAUACGGGCAGACUAGAGGCAUUCAGGGGGAGGACGGAAUUCCUGGUGUAGCGGUGAAAUGCGCAGAUAUCAGGAGGAACACCGGUGGCGAAGGCGGUUCUCUGGGAAUGUCCUGACGCUGAGGAGCGAAAGUGUGGGGAGCGAACAGGAUUAGAUACCCUGGUAGUCCACACCGUAAACGUUGGGCGCUAGGUGUGGGAUCCAUUCCACGGGUUCCGUGCCGCAGCUAACGCAUUAAGCGCCCCGCCUGGGGAGUACGGCCGCAAGGCU